AACGCACAUUGCGCCCGCUAGUAUUCUGGCGGGCAUGCCUGUUCGAGCGUCAUUUCAACCCUCAAGCUCUGCUUGGUGUUGGGGUCCUACAGCUUGUAGGCCCUGAAAUAUAGUGGCGGACCCACUGGAAGUCCGAGCGCAGUAGUUUUCUCUCGCUCUGGAGGACCUGGUGGUGUUUUGCCGUUAAACCCCCAAUUUUCUAAGGUUGACCUCGGAUCAGGUAGGAAUACCCGCUGAACUUAA
RNAcentral lists this unclassified non-coding RNA (243 nucleotides) under uncultured fungus. RNAcentral's name for it is "sequence contains ITS2". Lineage: Eukaryota; Fungi. The record is from RNAcentral.